Molecule: ribosomal RNA, 468 nt
Filed under: uncultured bacterium
Lineage: Bacteria
Description: partial 16S ribosomal RNA
Rfam family: Bacterial small subunit ribosomal RNA
Source: RNAcentral
GACGAACGCUGGCGGCGUGCUUAACACAUGCAAGUCGAACGGAAAGGCCCUGCUUUUGUGGGGUGCUCGAGUGGCGAACGGGUGAGUAACACGUGAGUAACCUGCCCUUGACUUUGGGAUAACUUCAGGAAACUGGGGCUAAUACCGGAUAGGAGCUCCUGCUGCAUGGUGGGGGUUGGAAAGUUUCGGCGGUUGGGGAUGGACUCGCGGCUUAUCAGCUUGUUGGUGGGGUAGUGGCUUACCAAGGCUUUGACGGGUAGCCGGCCUGAGAGGGUGACCGGCCAAAUUGGGACUGGGAUACGGCCAAGACUCCUACGGGAGGCAGCAGUGGGGAAUAUUGCACAAUGGGCGGAAGCCUGAUGCAGCAACGCCGCGUGCGGGAUGACGGCCUUCGGGUUGUAAACCGCUUUCGCCUGUGACGAAGUGUGAGUGACGGUAAUGGGUAAAGAAGCACCGGCUAACUACGUG